Molecule: small nucleolar RNA, 103 nt
Organism: Jaculus jaculus (lesser Egyptian jerboa)
Lineage: Eukaryota; Metazoa; Chordata; Mammalia; Rodentia; Dipodidae
Gene: U8
Rfam family: U8 small nucleolar RNA
About the family: U8 is a member of the C/D class of snoRNA which contain the C (UGAUGA) and D (CUGA) box motifs. U8 is the RNA component of a small complex (the U8 snoRNP) which is required for accumulation of mature large subunit ribosomal RNAs, 5.8S and 28S rRNAs.
Source: Ensembl
UCAUCAGGUGGGAUAAUCCUUACCUGUUGCUCCUUUCGGAGGGCAGAAAGAACGUGAUGAUUGGAGAAAAGAAAAAAAAAAAAAAGAAUUGCUAAUCUAUGAG